UCAACUGGUUCUUGCCAAAAGGAGUGGCCAGUGUCAAGUGUGACGAAGGAGAAAAUCUCCUUAACUUGUUGGAGCAAACCAAUCAUGUUUGUAAAUUCCUAAGUAAACGUCACAUAGAAAGUCCUUGGGUGUUGAUGGUUCUUCUAGAAAGUUUAAUCCUUUCAGGAAGUUCCUCCACCUGAUGGCAGUCUCAUAUUCCAUCGCCUGGAGCAGCAGCAUCGCUGCUGUUACCUUUCAGGACUGGCCAUGACACAUACAUAUGCUGCUAAUUUUUUUUUUAAAAAAUAAACUAACAUAGAGUAGGCAUAUUGUUUUGUUUUCUACCCAACCGCUUCUUGCUACAAGGAGUGGGUAGUGUCAAGUGUGACAAAGGAGAUUUUUCUGGGUGAAAUCUCUUUUAACUUGUUGGAGCAAACCAAUCAUGUUUGUAAAUUCCUAAGUAAAUGUCAUAUAGAAAGUCCUUGGGUGUUGAUGGUUCUUCUUGAAAGUUCAAUCCUUCCAGGAAGUUCCUCCACCUGAUGGCGGUCUCAUAUUCCAUCGCCUGGAGCAGCAGCAUUGCUGCCGUUACCUUUCAGGACUGGCCAUGAGACACACAUACACUGCUAUUAUAUUAUUAUUAUUAUUUUUAAAAGGAUUAAACUAAGCAUAGAGGAGACAAUGGUUUCGUUUCUACCCAACUGCUUGCUACAAGGAGUGGCUGGUGUCAAGUGCGACGGAGGAGAUUUUUCUGGGUGAAAAUCUCCUUAACUUGUUGGAGCAAACCAAUCAUGUUUGUAAAUUCCUAAGACAACGUCACAUAGAAAGUCCUUGGGUGUUGAUGGUUCUUCUAGAAAGUUCAAUCCUUUCAGAAAGUUCCUCCACCUGAUGGCGGUCUCAUAUUCCAUCGCCUGGAGCAGCAGCAUCGCUGCCUUUACCUUUCAGGACUGGCCAUGAGACAUACAUACACUGCUAUUCUUUUACUUUAAAAAAAAAAACUAACAUAGAUUCGGCAUAUUGUUUUGUUUUCUACCCAACUGCUUCUUGCUACAAGGAGUGGGUAGUGUCAAGUGUGACGAAGGAGAUUUUUCUGGGUGAAAAUCUCUUUAACUUGUUGGAGCAAACCAAUCAUGUUUGUAAAUUCCUAAGUAAACGUCAUAUAGAAAGUCCUUGGGUGUUGAUGGCUUUUCUUGAAAGUUCAAUCCUUCCAGGAAGUUCCUCCACCUGAUGACGGUCUCAUAUUCCAUCGCCUGGAGCAGCAGCAUCGCUGCCAUUACCUUUCGGGACUGGCCAUGAGACAGACAUGCACUUUUGCUCUUUUGUUUAUUAUUUAAACUUAUCAUCACUAGAUGCAUGUUGUUUCCCACCCAGCUUGUAUAUACAUGUGGGUUUUAUGGGAACUUGAAAAGCAAUUUAAGUGGGAUCAUGUGGUGUUUUCAAGUUUUCACCAUGGUAUCUUUGACUUCUAAAAUCUUGCUUAUAGCCUGCAGUAAAAGCAUGUCUUGUAAUUCAUUACAUUCUGCAAUUGUCCCCUU
This 1511-nucleotide long non-coding RNA is filed under the name Elaeis guineensis (African oil palm). RNAcentral describes it as "long non-coding RNA (EGUI_LNC029157)". Lineage: Eukaryota; Viridiplantae; Streptophyta; Magnoliopsida; Arecales; Arecaceae. The record is from RNAcentral.